This 275-nucleotide ribosomal RNA is filed under the name uncultured bacterium. Its description in RNAcentral is "partial 16S ribosomal RNA". It matches the Rfam family "Bacterial small subunit ribosomal RNA", at positions 338 to 609 of the family's 1533-position model. The record is from RNAcentral.
CCUACGGGUGGCUGCAGUGAGGAAUAUUGGUCAAUGGGCGCAAGCCUGAACCAGCCAUGCCGCGUGCAGGAAGAAUGCCCUAUGGGUUGUAAACUGCUUUUAUUUGGGAAUAAACCCAGGGUCGAGCAUCCUGGCUGAAGGUACCAAAUGAAUAAGCACCGGCUAACUCCGUGCCAGCAGCCGCGGUAAUACGGAGGGUGCAAGCGUUAUCCGGAAUCAUUGGGUUUAAAGGGUCCGCAGGCGGUCUUAUAAGUCAGUGGUGAAAGCCUACAGCU